AUUCCUUUCUUCAUUUAAUUGCACAUGCAUUUCCCACCAGUUUUUGUUUUCGUGUAUAAAACGGACACGGUGCACUGCUGAACAUUAUUAUUUGAUCUGUCAAGUAUACACAACGCAUCAACAUGUUCAAAUUGAUCUUUGCCUUCGCCGCCUUUUUGGCUUUGACAAUUGCUGCACCAAACCCUGGACUCAUUUCUAGCUACAGUGCUCCAAUAAUUACUUCAGGAUACUCAACAUACUCCGCUCCUUUGACUUACUCUAACUACAUCAACCCAUCUAUUUACUCAUCGCCCUUGGCUUAUUCUGCUGGAUACGGAUAUGCUCCUUAUGCCUAUUUGUAAACUAUGUUCUAUGCCACAAUAAAGACUUGAAAAUUUA
This is a long non-coding RNA of Aethina tumida (small hive beetle), 378 nucleotides long. RefSeq lists it as uncharacterized. The transcript has 2 exons. Lineage: Eukaryota; Metazoa; Arthropoda; Insecta; Coleoptera; Nitidulidae. The record is from RefSeq and is a predicted model, not a curated record.